This 515-nucleotide ribosomal RNA is filed under the name uncultured bacterium. Its description in RNAcentral is "bacterial SSU rRNA". It matches the Rfam family "Bacterial small subunit ribosomal RNA", at positions 32 to 524 of the family's 1533-position model. The record is from RNAcentral.
AAUCAACGCUGGCGGCGUGCCUCAGACAUGCAAGUCGAACGCGAAAGUUCCCUUCGGGGGAUAAGUAGAGUGGCGUCCGGGUGAGUAACACGUAGGUAAUCUACCUUUGGGUGGGGAAUAACAACCGGAAACGGUUGCUAAUACCGCAUAAUGCAGCGGCACCACAUGGUGACAGUUGUUAAAGCGGGGGAUCGCAAGACCUCGCGCCUAAAGAGGAGCCUGCGGCGGAUUAGCUAGUUGGAGGGUAACGGCCUACCAAGGCAACGAUCCGUAGCCGGCCUGAGAGGGCGGUCGGCCACACUGACACUGAAAUACGGGUCAGACUCCUACGGGAGGCAGCAGUCGGGGAAUUUUGGGCAAUGGGCGAAAGCCUGACCCAGCAACGCCGCGUGAAGGAUGGAAUCCCUCGGGAUGUAACUUCGCAAGAACAGGAAGAAUAAGUAGGGGACAAUACCCCCUAUGAUGACGGUACUGUUGUAAGCUCCGGCUAACUCCGUGCCAGCCGCCGCAGUAAC